AAGAAAGGUUUCGAUUGUGUAUUUAGACUUUGAACACGUUAUUGAAAGCCUUACAGAUGAGACAGAGAAGGAAAUACAUUGACGGUGAAGGAAGAAAGGUUUCGAUUGUAUAUUUAGACUCUGAACACGUUAUUGAAAGCCUUACAGAUGAGACAGAGAAGGAAAUACAUUGACGGUGAAGGAAGAAAGGUUUCGAUUGUAUAUUUAGACUCUGAACACGUUAUCGAAAGCCUUACAGAUGAGACAGAGAAGGAAAUACAUUGACGGUGAAGGAAGAAAGGUUUCGAUUGUAUAUUUAGACUCUGAACACGUUAUCGAAAGCCUUACAGAUGAGACAGAGAAGGAAAUACAUUGACGGUGAAGGAAGAAAGGUUUCGAUUGUAUAUUUAGACUGUGAACACGUUAUCGAAAGCCUUACAGAUGAGACAGGGAAGGAAAUACAUUGACGGUGAAGGAAGAAAGGUUUCGAUUGUAUAUUUAGACUCUGAACACGUUAUCGAAAGCCUUACAGAUGAGACAGGGAAGGAAACACAUUGACGGUGAAGGGAGAAAGGAUUCGAUUGCAUUAUGAACAUGAACUUGCGAUCGAAAACCCUACAAAAGGUAAA
Molecule: long non-coding RNA, 608 nt
Organism: Eriocheir sinensis (Chinese mitten crab)
Lineage: Eukaryota; Metazoa; Arthropoda; Malacostraca; Decapoda; Varunidae
Exons: 4
Source: RefSeq, a predicted model, not a curated record